UCUCCUGGAGCAGCAGGUUAAUAAUCCAACGUGAAGUGAUGCCCGAAUUCUCACUGCUAAUGUAAGACGAAUUUUUGAGCAGGUAAAGGAUGCCCCUAAGGUGACCCAACCACUUUACGGGAUGCCUGGGAGUCACAAUCUGCCUA
Molecule: small nuclear RNA, 146 nt
Filed under: Carlito syrichta (Philippine tarsier)
Lineage: Eukaryota; Metazoa; Chordata; Mammalia; Primates; Tarsiidae
Description: U12 minor spliceosomal RNA (ENSTSYG00000022631.2)
Source: RNAcentral